Long non-coding RNA from Spinacia oleracea (spinach), 551 nucleotides. RefSeq lists it as uncharacterized. The record is from RefSeq and is a predicted model, not a curated record. The transcript has 3 exons. Lineage: Eukaryota; Viridiplantae; Streptophyta; Magnoliopsida; Caryophyllales; Amaranthaceae.
UGUGUCCAAGCUGGUCGAUUGAAAUUUUCUGAGUUUUAAGCGCAUUUUUAUCAGUUUUUAACAGAUUAUCUGUUCUAACCUGUUUUAGAGACUAAUAUUUUUAUUCAUACAUUGAUCAGGGAUGGAGUGAGUGAAUCGCAGUUCAAACAGGUCCUCAACAUAGAAUUUGAACAGAUUCUUCAGGCGUGCAAGGCGCUUGAUGAAAGUUGGUCUCCUAAGUUCACCAUUGUGAUUGCUCAAAAACAGCAUCAUACCAAGUUUUUCCAACAAGGAAGCCCUGACAAUGUACCACCUGGAACGGUGGUUGACACCAAAGUCUGCCAUCCAUUAUACUACGAUUUCCACAUGUGUGCACAAGCAGGGAUGAUUGUGUUUAAAUCUUUUGAAUCUUGUUUUACUUUAUCUACAAGUUUUAGGUUUGCCAUUAGCAGUCUCAGCUAGUCAAGGCUCUUUCAUUUUCCAUAAACUACUCCCAUAUUGGACUUGUUUUAUGACUGAAUGAAUAUACGCUUCGACAUGAUCAUCUUAGAGUUAUGUUACUCCAACUCAGG